This 66-nucleotide transfer RNA is filed under the name marine eukaryotic metagenome. It matches the Rfam family "tRNA". Rfam says of the family: Transfer RNA (tRNA) molecules are approximately 80 nucleotides in length. Their secondary structure includes four short double-helical elements and three loops (D, anti-codon, and T loops). Further hydrogen bonds mediate the characteristic L-shaped molecular structure. tRNAs have two regions of fundamental functional importance: the anti-codon, which is responsible for specific mRNA codon recognition, and the 3' end, to which the tRNAs corresponding amino acid is attached (by aminoacyl-tRNA synthetases). tRNAs cope with the degeneracy of the genetic code in two manners: having more than one tRNA (with a specific anti-codon) for a particular amino acid; and 'wobble' base-pairing, i.e. permitting non-standard base-pairing at the 3rd anti-codon position. The record is from RNAcentral.
AGUGUAGCUCAAUUGGUAGAGCACCGGUCUCCAAAACCGGGGGUUGCAGGUUCAAGUCCUGUCACU